This 492-nucleotide ribosomal RNA is filed under the name uncultured bacterium. RNAcentral's name for it is "partial 16S ribosomal RNA". It matches the Rfam family "Bacterial small subunit ribosomal RNA", at positions 29 to 507 of the family's 1533-position model. The record is from RNAcentral.
AGUGAACGCUGGCGGUAGGCCUAACACAUGCAAGUCGAACGGCAGCACAGUAAGAGCUUGCUCUUACGGGUGGCGAGUGGCGGACGGGUGAGGAAUACAUCGGAAUCUACUUUUUCGUGGGGGAGAACGUAGGGAAACUUACGCUAAUACCGCAUACGACCUACGGGUGAAAGCAGGGGAUCUUCGGACCUUGCGCGAUUGAAUGAGCCGAUGUCGGAUUAGCUAGUUGGCGGGGUAAAGGCCCACCAAGGCGACGAUCCGUAGCUGGUCUGAGAGGAUGAUCAGCCACACUGGAACUGAGACACGGUCCAGACUCCUACGGGAGGCAGCAGUGGGGAAUAUUGGACAAUGGGCGCAAGCCUGAUCCAGCCAUACCGCGUGGGUGAAGAAGGCCUUCGGGUUGUAAAGCCCUUUUGUUGGGAAAGAAAAGCAGCAGGUUAAUACCACGCUGUUCUGACGGUACCCAAAGAAUAAGCACCGGCUAACUUCGUG